UAAACACCGCGGUGCGUGCACGCCCAGCUUGGCUCUCUGCGCGUUUCUCGCGCCCGGGUGUGAGUCUCCUACUGUGCGCCGUAUUCCUAAAGCCGGGGAUCACGUCACGUGUCACGGCUCCCGGGUCCUGGGCCAAGUUUUUUUAAAAAUUCCGUGUCAGACCAUCCACGGAGGUUCAGCGCAGAAACCUACACGCCCCGACCCUCCUGCGCGCAUCUCCGCUCCACGCUGCGUAACGAACACCUCAGAGAGGAGCGGAUGGAUGGAUGCAUGGAUGUGGAUAGAUGUUCCCGUUUAACUGAACGCGCCAAAUCAAGACGACUUUAAGUGACUUAUUUGAUUACUUCCAGCGAUUUCCAACGACCCUCGGAUUACCUCUGAUCUUUGGCAAGCCAAAGAAGGAUAAUUUUUUGUUUUGUUUUGUUUGUUUGUUUUAAAACGAGAGAGAAGAGAGGAAAGAAGGAAAGGGAAGCUCCGGGUCGCUGAGAAAGGCUGGGUGCGCUAGAAAGACGGAAAGUCACGGAUCAUGCUUAUGGGAACUUCCGAUUCCGUCUCAAUAAGAGUGGCUCUGCCUGAUGCUCUAUCAUGACUGAUGGCGAAGGGAGAGCGCGCUUUCAGUACGCAGAGUGCCAGGAGCUGGAGGAGGUGCGGGAGGAGGUAAGGCUUGCUGUACCGACAUCCUACAGGAAUGACGCCCAAGGUCAUGAAGAUGACCCAGGAGGAAGACGCCCGGAUGAUGAGGAGGAAGAGGAGGAGGUGGAGAGGACGAGAAGGAGCAGCAGGAGGAGGAGGAGGAGGACGAGCAGCAGCAGUAGCGUUCAAGGAGAUGGAGGAAAUGAAUGGAGUCCUGAAGUUCAGGGGGAUGAAGAACAGGAACCGGAGCUGGAAGUGGAAGUUGGACCAACACUGGGAGUUCGCAUCACGGCUCCCAUCCGUGAUCCAGACUGCGUCUCCGAGGAUGAGGAACAGCAGCCGUAUCCGGCCCUGGCCCCCAUGGCCUUCUUCUGCUUAAAGCAAACAACGAGGCCUCGCAACUGGUGUCUCCGCAUGGUCUGUAACCCAUAUC
Molecule: long non-coding RNA, 1066 nt
Organism: Oreochromis aureus
Lineage: Eukaryota; Metazoa; Chordata; Actinopteri; Cichliformes; Cichlidae
Source: Ensembl